UACGAAGGGUGCAAACGUUGCUCGGAAUUACUGGGCGUAAAGCGUGCGCAGGCGGUUAUGCAAGACAGAUGUGAAAUCCCCGGGCUCAACCUGGGAACUGCAUUUGUGACUGCAUGGCUGGAGUGCGGCAGAGGGGGAUGGAAUUCCGCGUGUAGCAGUGAAAUGCGUAGAUAUGCGGAGGAACACCGAUGGCGAAGGCAAUCCCCUGGGCCUGCACUGACGCUCAUGCACGAAAGCGUGGGGAGCAAACAGG
This 253-nucleotide ribosomal RNA is filed under the name uncultured bacterium. RNAcentral's name for it is "partial 16S ribosomal RNA". It matches the Rfam family "Bacterial small subunit ribosomal RNA", at positions 524 to 776 of the family's 1533-position model. The record is from RNAcentral.